This 460-nucleotide ribosomal RNA is filed under the name uncultured bacterium. RNAcentral describes it as "partial 16S ribosomal RNA". It matches the Rfam family "Bacterial small subunit ribosomal RNA", at positions 338 to 795 of the family's 1533-position model. The record is from RNAcentral.
CCUACGGGUGGCAGCAGUGAGGAAUAUUGGUCAAUGGGCGCUAGCCUGAACCAGCCAAGUCGCGUGAAGGAUGACUGCCCUAUGGAUUGUAAACUUCUUUUAUCUGGGAGUAAAGUGCGGUAUGUAUACUGCUUUGCAUGUUCCUUGUGAAUAAGGAUCGGCUAACUCCGUGCCAGCAGCCGCGGUAAUACGGAGGAUCCGAGCGUUAUCCGGAUUUAUUGGGUUUAAAGGGAGCGUAGGCGGGUUGUUAAGUCAGUUGUGAAAGUUUGCGGCUCAAACGUAAAAUUGCAGUUGAUACUGGUAGUCUGGAGUACAGGAGAGGUAGGCGGAAUUCGUGGUGUAGCGGUGAAAUGCUUAGAUAUCACGAAGAACUCCGAUUGCGAAGGCAGCAUGCUGGACUGUAACUGACGCUGAUGCUCGAAAGUGUGGGUAUCAAACAGGAUUAGAUACCCCUGUAGUC